UAGCGUAUAUUAAAGUUGUUGCGGUUAAAAAGCUCGUAGUUGGAUUUCUGUUGAGAACAGGCGGUCCACCUUUUGGGUGAGUAUCUGCAUUGGUCUCGGCAUCUUCUCGAAAGACAUUCCUGCGCUUGAUUGCGUGGGGUGGAUCUCGGGACUUUUACUUUGAGGAAAUUAGAGUGUUCACGGCAGGCAUACGCCUUGAAUAUAUUAGCAUGGAAUAAUGAUAUAGGAUCUUGGUUCUAUUUUGUUGGUUUCUAGAGCUAAGAUAAUGAUUAAUAGGGACAAUUGGGGGCAUUCGUAUUAACGCGUC
Molecule: ribosomal RNA, 307 nt
Filed under: Amoebophrya sp.
Lineage: Eukaryota; Dinophyceae; Syndiniales; Amoebophryaceae
Description: SSU rRNA
Rfam family: Eukaryotic small subunit ribosomal RNA
Source: RNAcentral